Molecule: non-coding RNA, 219 nt
Filed under: Clostridium disporicum
Lineage: Bacteria; Bacillati; Bacillota; Clostridia; Eubacteriales; Clostridiaceae
Description: T-box sequence
Rfam family: T-box leader
About the family: Uncharged tRNA acts as the effector for transcription antitermination of genes in the T-box leader family. T-boxes are found upstream of many aminoacyl-tRNA synthetase genes and some amino acid biosynthetic genes usually in Gram-positive bacteria. The anticodon of a specific tRNA base pairs to a specifier sequence within the T-box motif, and the NCCA acceptor tail of the tRNA base pairs to a conserved bulge in the T-box antiterminator hairpin.
Source: RNAcentral
AUUAUUGCACUGAUAAGGAGUAGUACUAUAUUUUUGUAAUCUAUAGAGAGCUGUUGUUUGGUGGAAAACAGUGAUACAAUUAUAGGAACUUGCCUUUGAGCUUACUUGUUAAAAGCAAGUACGGAUUCCCCGUUACGGAUUUGAGUGAAAACUUUAAACUGUUAUAAGUUAAAGUUUUAAUAAGAGUGGUACCGCGAAACAAUGCCUUUCGUCUCUUAA